UCCGCCCACCCGGCGGCUCCCAUUGUGCCCCAGGCCCGCGCCGCUCCGCCGUCCUGUGACCGCCUGCGCCCCGCAGCGCGCCCGACGGCCGGCCGCUGGAAGUUCGGGCCCGCGGCGCACGCCCUGCCGCCCCGGGAUGCACGUGAACUUGGAGAAAGUCUCGGGGCGCGCCGGCGCAGACCUCCGCGGCAGGGCGUGGGCGCCCCUGGCCCCGCGCGCUUUCGUUUUCGUCUGGGACAAAGGUCCCUCGCGGCGCAGGUCGCGGACGUGGAGGCAGUGCCCUGCGGGCCACUCAGCGGGGAGGUCCGGUCGUUCAGUCAAGGGAAGCCGGAGCCUGGAGAAGACGAGCCGCGCGGUCGGAGGCGCGGUGCGGGACCAGGACAGUGGGGCCUGGCCGUGCGCUUCGCCCUGGCGGUCCAGGAGCUGUCUCGCCCUCCGAAGAGUUACGGGAGGUGGCACUGCUUUUGCUCUCUGCCCUUUCGACACGUGAAGGAGAGAAUCAUUCGGAACCCAGGACUCAGACCGGUGGCCGAGGGCCUGUGCAGCCGCGAGCACGACAGCGCAGCGCUGGCCGCGUCCGCGCGCGUUCCUCCGACAAGGGCAGAGCAGUCGACCAGCGCGCCCCAGUCUCGAUCGGGUUCAAGGCGACUCUUGAGGACGGUAAGUGCAUUUCUCACUUUCGCUACUUAGUGAAUAUUUAAAUAUUAAUGACGGGAUUUCUAAGAGGAGCCCUUCUGUAGGGCAGGCCUUCCACAGACCAGGGGACCGGGGAAGGAGGCUGUUCUUGAACCUGAAGCCACACCAGCUUGCAGGAACUCCAUGGCCGGCCUUACAAUUGUGGAACUUGGAAUUUGGGGAAUAACGGCUUCCAGUCUCAGGUGUGCAGACCAUUUGCCAGAGAGAAUUUUGUUGAACAUGGAAGAGAGCCUUAGCAGGCGCCCGAGUGGAAGAGAAGGAAACCAGAAGACGUCUGUUUUGAGAUUAGAUGGGCUGGGAAGGGGUAUUCGGAAGCUACCAUCCUUCCUUGAAAAAUUGAAAUCUUGCAUUCACUUCCUAAACCAGCAGUGCUGCUUUUUUUUUUUUUUCUUGCUGGUCAGGCGUUUAUGGAGAGCUGGCUUCGGGCAGCCCUGGGUCCAGCUUCGGCCUUUCGGGCUGGUGGCAUAAAGCUCCGAAUGUGGAAGCGGUUGUUUAUGGUGGCAUAAAAUGAAAGACAUCUCAUAACUUUUCAUAAUAAAUUCCCCUUUAUAGGUGGCUGACACACGGGCCCAGCCGGCAGCCCUGGGGAAUUUGUGGGGAGCAAGAAAGGGGUGAAGGAAUGCACGUUUGCCGUAAUUACAGGGUUUUAAGGUAACACUGAAAUUAAUUUCUUCAAAGUUGGGUUUCAGAGGCCAUGGUGGUCUCUGUAGGCCAGCACUGUGUUCGUUUUAUUUUAGUUCGUUGGUUCUAGUUAUUGGGGAUUUUAAAAUGCAUGUUUGAACCUGCGUGUACCUGUCCUGUUAAAAUGAAACCCGUAACAGGAGGGGAUUAAGCCCGCUUUUUAAUAUGACCGUCUCGCAGGUGUGAUUUCCCCUUUCCGCUCCCUCAUCGUAUUGAUGUGGUUUGGAUAACCUUGCUGCGUGCUUUGACCACAAAAUAAUGGGGAGGGGAGCCUGUUUCCAUAACACCCCAGAGCUGUGAGCUGGCACUUGGAGGCUGUGUUUCCGGGAACGUGGACAGAGGCCCGAGUCGCCCAGGCCUGCCUCAAGCCUCCCUUUCCCCGGGUUUCCAGAUCUGGGGCCAGAAGCCAGAGGAAGCAGGAGACCAUUCCGAUGAGGUCUUUGCCCACCGGCCCCCACCCGGAGGCUCAAAGUUGGCUUCCUCCGGUCAUGCGUUCCUCGCCGUAUUUUUUGCGAGGCCAUCACACACACGCACACCCCCCCCCUCCCCUGUCCCCCGUUUGGGAUUUGUAGUUAUGACUUUAUCAGAGGCAGUGAGCAGACAUGAAACCCCCGGGGUGGGACAUUCAGGAGUGAUCUCGGAAGCGGGGGCGCAGCUGCCGAAGGGGCGCCGCUCCAGCCGGGAGCCGCUGCUUGCCGUGGCAUCGGCCGUGACGGGGUGAGUCAUUUUCAAAAGCCCAAGUUCCGCCAGGGCCUUGCCUGUAAAAUGCAGGAGACGUUUUCCCGGGUCCACAGGUGACCUGUGACGUAUGGCACCACAGGCAGGGAUGGUGUGGCAUCCUGCUCAGACUGGUGGAGCUCCCCACGAUUCACCCCGAAACAAGGGGCAUGGCUUACACCCUCUCCACGGGCCUACCGGCCAGACACUGGGAGCUGGGAAAGGCCUGAGCAUCCGAGGAGGCCUUCCCCACCCCCAGGGCCACUUAGCGGGGGCUGCUAUUUGCCACGGCUCCGGAGGCCCCUCUCCUGCCCCCCCCCCGCCCCCCGUGCCCUGCCCCACCGGGUCUGUGAUGGCGCUGAGCGUCCACUGCAAACAGUGGAGCUGGCCGCACCGAGAGAGGCCCUGCCUUGGCACCAGGCUGCCCUGUCCUGCCUUUGUCCCUGUCCUGAGAGCAGCCCAGUUCUACUAGAGACUCCCCAUGGGGACGUGGGUCCGGCCAGGGGCUUCUGCUUGUGUUGGGAGCUCUCGUCUGGGCUGAAUUUAUUUUUGAGGAGCUGCACACAAGAGCGAGGUUCUGAAAAUGAAACUGGUGCCCUUCUGUUCUUUAUCGCUGGAUUUCAUAGAAGGAAUGUGCCAAGUAGGGGACAGGGUCUUAGGAGCUGUGGCGGGCGGGCGGGCGGGAGGAUGGCCCUGGUGUUCCUGUUUUUGUUUGCAAUCAGGGCGAGCCCAGAGUGGCCCCUGGCCUGCCUUGGGGCCCUGCCACACCCAUUCUCUGGCCACUUGAUGCCCCGGAUCCUGGCCUCAAGGUCUCCGCAGGGAGAUGGGGGUGGUGGCUGACCGCUCAGCUCGUGCAGGGCGGCGACGAGGCUCCGACCAUGGCCAGGUCUCACGUGCCGCCUGAACAGGUGCAGAUGGCGUUUUGCUUUGCUCAGCAGGAGCAGCGGGGAGCCCUGCAGCAGGGUUACGCUUGGGUCCCUAUGGUUUGCACCUGACCGGGGCCCACACUGUGAUCCGGUCUCAUUUGUUCCUAUCCUCAGCGUGGCAUGGACAAGGCCCAACGGGAAGACAGGCUUGGGGGGGGUCUGGGGGGAGGGGCCGGAGGGCUGUGCCCACCCCAACGGGCACCCAGCCUGGGUGAGCGCUCCUUGGUGCCCAGGGAAACCGCCAUGUGCCCCCAGUGAAGGACAGUGCACGAGAAGGGAAAGGAGCCCCCAGGGGCCAGGCAGGAAAACAUCUUCAGACUAUCACGAUAGGUGGUUUUCGGGCUGGGAGGGUGUCUUGGCAUGUUUGGGGAGGACAGAGGAUAUGUUGCAGAAAUCCCGCUAAGCUGGGCGUGGGGGUUAAGUUCACGGCCAGGCAGCUCCAAUUCCGGCCCCUGCCCUGGGGGCUGGCCGUGUGACCCUGGACAAGUCACAUCACCUCCUGGGACUGUACCCCAAGCUCUAGAGCAGGGAUCAUAUUCACAGCGACCUCAGAGGGUCGUUGGGCAAGGUCAGAUGACGCUCUUUGCACCAAACGCGGUUCCUGGCAUGUGCCGGGGACGCCGUAAGUGGCCAUUGUUGUAGUGGUUUUUGUUGUAAAAUGGUAAUCGUCAUUUUUCUUGCUAGUUCUUAUAUUUUCGAGUUUCUAAGAAACAGAGAACGCAGUUUGGGUUUCACUAGAAGGGACACCUGUGGGUUUACCUCCCCCCUCUCCCGCCGCCUCCCCCCCACUCCCCCCGCCCAGGUGGUAGCGACGGUAAACCUUGAUGUUUUCAGACUGUCAGGAACUUGCAAAGCCGGGGCUUCCCUUGUCCUGAGGACUCAGCCGAGAUGCCCUGAGUCCCCCCCCCCAAGCCCCCCUCCGUCCCCUCCGCCAGGGUCCAGGUUCGUGCUCAAGUGCCUUCUGAGACACCUUCUAGGAAUGGAGCCCUCCCGAGAGGGGCACUCGAGGAGCUCACCUGGGUGCUGGCCCCGGGGGUCUGAUCGGAGGAAAAACCAGGCAAGAUGUCCCGCGUCAGGGGUCCAGAGUAGCCACACCAGCCACCAGCGUCCCUGUCGGCGAUAGGGUGGCUCUUCGGUGGAGGCUUUCACCUCCGACAGCCUGAUUGUUCUUGGUGCACGCAGCGAACAUUUACCAAAAUGCUGGCUUGGGGAGAAUUUUCUCUCUUAGCUGAUCCUCCAGGAAGGCCCAGCAGGAGUGCCCUUUCUCAGAACAUCUUGUUGGAACAAGAAAAGAAGCCCAGAUGGCAUCGGCCAUGCUUUCCGAUGUUAUGGAGCCUAGGAGGGAGAAAAAGCAACAAUUGUCUCCCAGCAAAGACAAUGGACCUUUUAUAUGAAAUAUUUAUUUUCAGGGCCGACCAGGGUCCCGUUGGCUGGGACAGCGGAGCACCAGUGUCUGGGCAUCACAGGCCCUGAGAGCUCACUCGGGGACGAGAUUUACAGAAAAGGAAAAGAAAAGUCCCCUGCCUCGUGGUUCUGGGGGAAUUUCAGCGGGAAUGUUUGGCUUUCUUUAUCGAGUGGAGUUUCAACUUUCCCAAGUUUAUUUUUUCUUCCCCUCUGAUUUCUUUUGAAGGGCUGCGGGGGCGUGUUGGCAAGCACGGGAAAGGUAGCCAGCUUUUUGGAUCAUGGGCUGGAUGGGGCCUCUCUGGGGCCAGGCCCAGCCUUUGUCUGCUGGGGGUGGUGGGGGGGUGGUCUCAGAAUGGAGGUGAGAAAAACUGGGAUUGAAAGGGGAGGGUCCGUCCCCAGGCGGGUGGAGAAAAGCCUCCAAGAGCAAAAUGUUGGACAACAUUUGUGAUUUUCAGGUGUCCUUGACUCUUCCCGAAUCUCAUCCUCCGAUGAGCUCGGGAUCGGCCAGCAGGUUAUCGGAGUCUGGCCUGAUUUGGUGAGGGCACCCACAAGCCCUCGGACACCCGCCCCGGCUGGUUGGACAAGCCUGGCCCAAAGUUCAUGCUGGACAGACGUUUUCUGAAUUAAUAGAAUGAGCAGAAUUUUACUCUGAGGCCUGCCCACAAGCUACCUUCUUCUUGGCUCCGCUACUUCGGGGAGUAACCCUCGUUCCUGCUCGAGGCCCAGCUUCGACGCAGCCAGGAAGGCGCCUGGGAAAGCCAGGCCCGGGUCCCAGGCCCGCGUUGGGGACUCCAGGAGGAAUUGAUCAGGCUGGGGCUUGUGGUGGGAGCAUGGGGAAACUAGCCUUCCUAGUGUUGGGUGUCAUUGGGCAGGCCGUGGGGGACCAUCGGCCGAGACCUCCCGCAGCUUAGGGGUGCAGGACAGACGAGGGAGUGGCCCCGAUCCGGGUGGGCAAGGAGGGGCCCCCGCCCACCCGCCAAGCUUCCCUUUUAUCCAAAAGACUUUGUUGGCAAAUUAUAGUAUCUGGCUUGAAAAUGAGCUUUUGUUUUUUUCUAAAUUGCUGUUGCAUC
Molecule: long non-coding RNA, 5494 nt
Filed under: Sus scrofa (pig)
Lineage: Eukaryota; Metazoa; Chordata; Mammalia; Artiodactyla; Suidae
Description: lncRNA (ENSSSCG00000052297.1)
Source: RNAcentral